GGGUUUACAAAUUACCCCCAAACCCCUGUGAACAUACCUUAAUGUUGCCUCGGCGGAUCAGCCCGCGCCCCGUAAAACGGGACGGCCCGCCAGAGGACCCAAACUCUAAUGUUUCUUAUUGUAACUUCUGAGUAAAACAAACAAAUAAAUCAAAACUUUCAACAACGGAUCUCUUGGUUCUGGCAUCGAUGAAGAACGCAGCAAAAUGCGAUAAGUAAUGUGAAUUGCAGAAUUCAGUGAAUCAUCGAAUCUUUGAACGCACAUUGCGCCCGCUGGUAUUCCGGCGGGCAUGCCUGUUCGAGCGUCAUUUCAACCCUCAAGCCCCCGGGUUUGGUGUUGGGGAUCGGCUCUGCCUUCUGGCGGUGCCGCCCCCGAAAUACAUUGGCGGUCUCGCUGCAGCCUCCAUUGCGUAGUAGCUAACACCUCGCAACUGGAACGCGGCGCGGCCAUGCCGUAAAACCCCAACUUCUGAAUGUUGACCUCGGAUCAGGUAGGAAUACCCCUCGCU
Molecule: ribosomal RNA, 508 nt
Filed under: Fusarium sp. TRT61
Lineage: Eukaryota; Fungi; Ascomycota; Sordariomycetes; Hypocreales; Nectriaceae
Description: eukaryotic LSU rRNA
Rfam family: 5.8S ribosomal RNA (bases 154-307)
Source: RNAcentral